This 504-nucleotide ribosomal RNA is filed under the name uncultured bacterium. RNAcentral's name for it is "partial 16S ribosomal RNA". It matches the Rfam family "Bacterial small subunit ribosomal RNA", at positions 28 to 523 of the family's 1533-position model. The record is from RNAcentral.
GAUAAACGCUAGCGGCAGGCUUAACACGUGCAAGUCGAGGGGCAGCAUAGAUUGUAGCAAUACAAUUGGUGGCGACCGGCGCACGGGUGCGUAACGCGUAUGCAACCCGCCCGUCACAGGGGGAUAAUCCGGAGAAAUCUGGUCUAAUACCCCAUAACAUAUGGAUCGGCAUCGGUUCAUGUUGAAAUUUUCGGAGGUGACGGAUGGGCAUGCGUAGCAUUAGCUUGUUGGUGAGGUAACGGCUCACCAAGGCGACGAUGCUUAGGGGGACUGAGAGGUUUUCCCCCCACACUGGAACUGAGACACGGACCAGACUCCUACGGGAGGCAGCAGUGAGGAAUAUUGGUCAAUGGGCGCAAGCCUGAACCAGCCAUGCCGCGUGCAGGAUGACGGCUCUAUGAGUUGUAAACUGCUUUUGUACGAGGGUAAAGUGGGUUACGUGUAACCUUUUGAAAGUAUCGUACGAAUAAGGAUCGGCUAACUCCGUGCCAGCCACCGCGGUAA